RNAcentral lists this ribosomal RNA (441 nucleotides) under uncultured bacterium. Its description in RNAcentral is "partial 16S ribosomal RNA". It matches the Rfam family "Bacterial small subunit ribosomal RNA", at positions 338 to 795 of the family's 1533-position model. The record is from RNAcentral.
CCUACGGGGAGCAGCAGUGGGGAAUAUUGCACAAUGGGCGAAAGCCUGAUGCAGCAACGCCGCGUGAAGGAAGACGGUUUUCGGAUUGUAAACUUCUGUUCUUAGUGAAGAAUAAUGACGGUAACUAAGGAGCAAGCCACGGCCAACAACGUGCAAGCAGCCGCGGUAAUACGGAGGUGGCCAGCGUUGUCCAGAAUUACUGGGUGUAAGGGGAGCGUAGGCGGGAAGCCAAGUCAGCUGUGAAACCUACGGGCUUAACCUGUAGACUGCAGUUGAACCUGGCUUUCUUGAGUGAAGUAGAGGUUGGCGGAAUUCCGGGUGUAGCGGUGAAAUGCGUAGAUAUUCGGAGGAACACCGGUGGCGAAGGCGGCCAACUGGGCUUUAACUGACGCUGAGGCUCGAAAGUGUGGGGAGCAAACAGGAUUAGAUACCCGAGUAGUC